This 253-nucleotide ribosomal RNA is filed under the name uncultured bacterium. Its description in RNAcentral is "partial 16S ribosomal RNA". It matches the Rfam family "Bacterial small subunit ribosomal RNA", at positions 524 to 776 of the family's 1533-position model. The record is from RNAcentral.
UACAGAGGGUGCGAGCGUUGUCCGGAAUCACUGGGCGUAAAGGGCGCGUAGGCGGCCGAUCAAGUCGGGGGUGAAAGCCUGUGGCUCAACCACAGAAUUGCCUUCGAUACUGUUUGGCUUGAGACCGGAAGAGGUUAGUGGAACUGCGAGUGUAGAGGUGAAAUUCGUAGAUAUUCGCAAGAACACCAGUGGCGAAGGCGGCUGACUGGUCCGGUUCUGACGCUGAGGCGCGAAAGCGUGGGGAGCAAACAGG